GUACUCUGCAAGCUCUGAGAGCCAUGCAAGAACUGGGUGUUGCAUCAGACAUGGAUACUUUUAGUAUCUAUAUCCUGCCGUCCUUCCCAUCAGUGGACAGUGCCCGCACUUCUCUUAAGGAGGCAGGUAUUGACGUGGACGCCAAUAUUUUGAUUGCGGCAGAAUUACGAGCCGAAGCGUCACGUGGAAACCUUGCAGGGCUGUUCUCUCUAAACACAACUCUGGAGAGAUGUACCCUUUAGAUGUACCCUGUAUGAUAGUGCUCAUCACUUGGAGACUAAUUGCCGUCCAUCAGGACUUCACAUACAUAGCCACUCAAACAUGCACUCUA
Long non-coding RNA from Sinocyclocheilus grahami, 331 nucleotides. RefSeq lists it as uncharacterized. The transcript has 3 exons. The record is from RefSeq and is a predicted model, not a curated record. NCBI's taxonomy places the organism in Eukaryota, Metazoa, Chordata, Actinopteri, Cypriniformes, Cyprinidae.